RNAcentral lists this long non-coding RNA (209 nucleotides) under Mytilus galloprovincialis (Mediterranean mussel). The record is from RNAcentral. Lineage: Eukaryota; Metazoa; Mollusca; Bivalvia; Mytilida; Mytilidae.
AAAUAAAAAAAAUCGUGCGGGACAACUUAAGAAGGGGUGGCAGAGAUGAAAAUCUAUCAAUUAAUUUUAAUUGGUCUAAUUUAAAUUAUUGAAGUGAACUAUUUCAUUUGUAUUUAUUGACAAGAUAGACCAUUAGACAGACAACUGAUUUACUUGACUCUAAUUGGUGAUUUAAACUGUGUGAACUCGAGUGUGUCACUAAGUGGACC